GCAUAUUGAAAAACUAUCCAAAUAAGAAAAAUAAUUAGUAAAUCACAAACGACUACUCAAAAGAACACUUGAACCACAAGCAAAUACAACAGAGCUAUACACAGAGAACAAAUUAAGAAAAUUUUGGAAUAAAAUUUAGAGACUAAUUAGUUAACAGACUUGCACUGAGAGCAACAAAGACUACAAGGGCGGGGAGACAAAGGAGACAGUGGCGAGAUGCAGUAAGUCAGUGGCAAAGGCGAAGGAUGGUUAAGAGUCCAUCUAUGUAAUUGAGAGAGCAAAGGUAGACAAAGUAAUCACAAGUUAUCUCAGUUUACAAGAGCUUGGCAUAAGCAACCCCAGUGAGAGGGAGUGUGUGAUAAAGACUAGAGAGAGAGGCUGGUCCAUGAUAGAGGGAGGCAAGGAGGAAACGAGGGGCCGGUCAACUGGGGGCCACACUAGCACAAUCAUCUUUGACUAUGGUCCAUAAGUGACAAAGGAUCAAAAAGUGAGGAGUAAGCAAGGUGACAGCAGAUAUGAGAACAAAAGAGAUAAUUAGGGUGUAUAAUUUUAUUUGGUUAACUGAAAACCACCACAUUUCUAAGAUACAAUGUUAUAUAAUUUAUAUUUAGUUUAGUUCAAUUUGGUUUAUUCAAUUUUCUCAGUAUUAAGACCAAACCAAACUGAUAUAACCUAAUAUUCUAUAAAAUAGAACUGAGUUGAACUGAUCAACUACAAACCCAAAACAAAUUUGUCAGUUUAGCUUGGUUUUUUUUAUUUAAACCAAAUUAAGGACGCCCAUAAGUAGGGCAAAUAGCAUAGGUGUGAAAGGCGCGCCUAAGUAGGCAAAUAGCAUAAUUAUGAAAGGCGCACCUGAGGCAAGAGGUGCACUGGGCGGGAAGGAUUUAGCUCAAACCUGCAAAGGCAGGCGACCUCACUAAGACGCACCUAGAUGCAGCUAGGCAUGCCCCAGCAAGGUCAACUUCAUUGCAGAAAUUUA
Molecule: unclassified non-coding RNA, 979 nt
Filed under: Hevea brasiliensis (rubber tree)
Lineage: Eukaryota; Viridiplantae; Streptophyta; Magnoliopsida; Malpighiales; Euphorbiaceae
Source: RNAcentral